GACGAACGCUGGCGGCGUGCCUAACACAUGCAAGUCGAGCGGGGUUGAGGCGAGAGGUAACUCGAACUUCUACCUAGCGGCGGACGGGUGAGUAACGCGUGGGCAACCUGCCUCAAGGUUUGGGAUAACAGCCCGAAAGGGCUGCUAAUACCGGAUAUGCCUAUGGCCUCGCAUGGGGCUAUGAGCAAAGGGGAAACCCGCCUUGAGAUGGGCCCGCGUCCCAUCAGCUAGUUGGUGAGGUAACAGCUCACCAAGGCGACGACGGGUAGCCGGCCUGAGAGGGUGACCGGCCACACUGGGACUGAGACACGGCCCAGACUCCUACGGGGGCAGCAGUGGGGGAUCUUGCACAAUGGGCGAAAGCCUGAUGCAGCGACGCCGCGUGAGCGAAGAAGGCCUUCGGUUGUAAGCUCUGUCUGGAGGGACGACGAAAUAGACGGUACCUCCGGACGGAAGCCACGGCGUAACUACGUAGCCAGCAGCCGCGGUAAAGUCGACGUCG
This 502-nucleotide ribosomal RNA is filed under the name uncultured bacterium. RNAcentral's name for it is "bacterial SSU rRNA". It matches the Rfam family "Bacterial small subunit ribosomal RNA", at positions 28 to 534 of the family's 1533-position model. The record is from RNAcentral.